GUACUUAUUUCAGAAGCACAUGCACUAAAAUUGAAAUGUUACAGAGGAGAUCAGCUUGGCCUUUCUGUAAAUAUGACAUACAUUUUUUGUGAACCAUUCCAUAUAAAA
This is a small nuclear RNA of Dipodomys spectabilis (banner-tailed kangaroo rat), 108 nucleotides long. The record is from RefSeq and is a predicted model, not a curated record. Lineage: Eukaryota; Metazoa; Chordata; Mammalia; Rodentia; Heteromyidae.